AUAGGGAAUGAUAUCAAUAGCCUAAGUCAUACGGGGAAACCAUAUUUUGGGGUGAAUCGCUUUUUAGCGUAGGUUUUGCCUUUACCUAACCCGUCAGCUAACCUCGUAGAAUAAAAGGAGGAAGAAA
Molecule: small RNA, 127 nt
Filed under: Clostridium pasteurianum
Lineage: Bacteria; Bacillati; Bacillota; Clostridia; Eubacteriales; Clostridiaceae
Description: c-di-AMP sequence
Rfam family: c-di-AMP riboswitch aptamer (ydaO/yuaA leader)
About the family: This family represents a conserved RNA structure found upstream of the ydaO and yuaA genes in Bacillus subtilis and related genes in other bacteria. The ydaO/yuaA element is thought to act as a genetic "off" switch for the ydaO and yuaA genes in its native state.
Source: RNAcentral